UUCCUGACUGUUGAGUGGUUAAGACACUGCACUCCCAAUGUAGGGGGCAUAGGUUCAAUCCCUGGUUAGGAAA
Molecule: transfer RNA, 73 nt
Filed under: Bos taurus (domestic cattle)
Lineage: Eukaryota; Metazoa; Chordata; Mammalia; Artiodactyla; Bovidae
Also listed under: 1 other name
Rfam family: tRNA
About the family: Transfer RNA (tRNA) molecules are approximately 80 nucleotides in length. Their secondary structure includes four short double-helical elements and three loops (D, anti-codon, and T loops).
Source: Rfam by way of RNAcentral